This 675-nucleotide ribosomal RNA is filed under the name Triticum aestivum (bread wheat). RNAcentral's name for it is "partial small subunit ribosomal RNA". Lineage: Eukaryota; Viridiplantae; Streptophyta; Magnoliopsida; Poales; Poaceae. The record is from RNAcentral.
AUGACUUCAUGCUUCUCUGAUAUAAUCAAAGAUCAUUCCCUAGAUUUCAUUUGCCUUCAAGAAACUAUGAAAAAAAACUUCCCCCCGAAAAAUCUUAGAAAGAUUGAUCGUAUGAAUAAUUUUGAUUGGAAUUGGGUACCCUCAAAUGGUAAAGCAGGCGGUAUCCUUUGUGGUGUCAGGAAGGAAACCUUAGAAGUAAUAUCCUGGACCUCGGGUAGAUUCUGUUUACAGGCAAACCUAUAUGAUGUUAAGCUCGAUCGUGUUUGGGCGAUCGUUAUAGUUUACGGGGCGGCUCAUGACGACAGUAAAGAUGACUUCCUUGUUGAGCUUGCCUCAAUGUGCUCGUGAAUUCAUGUCCCUUAUAUAGGGGGUGACUUUAAUAUCUUGCAAAGUAAUGAUGAUAAAAAUAAACCUAUGAGUCGAUCGCCUUAUGUUGACAAGUUCAACUCCCUUAUUAACUCUCUGUGUCUUAGAGAGAUUCACAUGGGUGGAGGUAGAUACACGUGGACUAACAAUCAAAAGCACCCUACCCUAGAGAAACUUGACAGAAUUUUGAUGAGUUUUGAGUGGGAAGAUUUAUUCCCUUUGGUUACAGUCCGUAAGCUGGUAAGGGACGUAUCUGAUCAUAACCCUCUCUUAAUUUCCUCGGGGGCGAAAAAUCCUGACACCCCAUGA